RNAcentral lists this ribosomal RNA (393 nucleotides) under uncultured bacterium. Its description in RNAcentral is "partial 16S ribosomal RNA". It matches the Rfam family "Bacterial small subunit ribosomal RNA", at positions 523 to 918 of the family's 1533-position model. The record is from RNAcentral.
AUACGGAGGAUGCGAGCGUUAUCCGGAUUUAUUGGGUUUAAAGGGAGCGUAGGUGGGAUAUUAAGUCAGCUGUGAAAGUUUGGGGCUCAACCUUAAAAUUGCAGUUGAUACUGGUUUCCUUGAGUACGGUACAGGUGGGCGGAAUUCGUGGUGUAGCGGUGAAAUGCUUAGAUAUCACGAAGAACUCCGAUCGCGAAGGCAGCUCCGCGAGCCAGAACUGACACUCACGCUCGACAGUGCGGUAACCAAACAGGAUUAGAUACACUGGUAAUCCUCAGAGUAGACGUUGAAUACACGCUGUUGGCGAUCCCCUGUAAGCGCUCAAGCGAAAGCGAUAAGUAUUCAACCUGGGGAGCACGCCGGCAACGUUGAUACUCAAACAAAAUCACGGGG